RNAcentral lists this ribosomal RNA (450 nucleotides) under uncultured bacterium. RNAcentral's name for it is "bacterial SSU rRNA". It matches the Rfam family "Bacterial small subunit ribosomal RNA", at positions 354 to 796 of the family's 1533-position model. The record is from RNAcentral.
GUGGGGAAUAUUGCACAAUGGGCGCAAGCCUGAUGCAGCCAUGCCGCGUGUAUGAAGAAGGCCCUAGGGUUGUAAAGUACUUUCAGUCGGGAGGAAGGCGUUGAUGCUAAUAUCAUCAACGAUUGACGUUACCGACAGAAGAAGCACCGGCUAACUCCGUGCCAGCAGCCGCGGUAAUACGGAGGGUGCAAGCGUUAAUCGGAAUUACUGGGCGUAAAGCGCACGCAGGCGGUUGAUUAAGUUAGAUGUGAAAUCCCCGGGCUUAACCUGGGAAUGGCAUCUAAGACUGGUCAGCUAGAGUCUUGUAGAGGGGGGUAGAAUUCCAUGUGUAGCGGUGAAAUGCGUAGAGAUGUGGAGGAAUACCGGUGGCGAAGGCGGCCCCCUGGACAAAGACUGACGCUCAGGUGCGAAAGCGUGGGGAGCAAACAGGAUUAGAAACCCUAGUAGUCC